CGAGCGGUAACAGGAGAGAGCUUGCUCUCUUGCUGACGAGCGGCGGACGGGUGAGUAAAGCCUGGGAAAUUGCCCUGAUGUGGGGGAUAACCAUUGGAAACGAUGGCUAAUACCGCAUGAUGUCUACGGACCAAAGAGGGGGACCUUCGGGCCUCUCGCGUCAGGAUAUGCCCAGGUGGGAUUAGCUAGUUGGUGAGGUAAAGGCUCACCAAGGCGACGAUCCCUAGCUGGUCUGAGAGGAUGAUCAGCCACACUGGAACUGAGACACGGUCCAGACUCCUACGGGAGGCAGCAGUGGGGAAUAUUGCACAAUGGGCGCAAGCCUGAUGCAGCCAUGCCGCGUGUAUGAAGAAGGCCUUCGGGUUGUAAAGUACUUUCAGCAGUGAGGAAGGGUGAUGCUUUAAUAGAGUCUCAUUUUGACGUUAGCUGCAGAAGAAGCACCGGCUAACUCCGUGCCAGCAGCCGCGGUAAUACGGAGGGUGCGAGCGUUAAUCGGAAUUACUGGGCGUAAAGCGCAUGCAGGUGGUCUUUUAAGUCAGAUGUGAAAGCCCGGGGCUUAACCCCGGAGUUGCAUUUGAAACUGGGAGGCUAGAGUACUGUAGAGGGGGGUAGAAUUUCAGGUGUAGCGGUGAAAUGCGUAGAGAUCUGAAGGAAUACCGGUGGCGAAGGCGGCCCCCUGGACAGGUACUGACACUCAGAUGCGAAAGCGUGGGGAGCAAACAGGAUUAGAUACCCUGGUAGUCCACGCCGUAAACGAUGUCUACUUGGAGGUUGUGACCUAGAGUCGUGGCUUUCGGAGCUAACGCGUUAAGUAGACCGCCUGGGGAGUACGGUCGCAAGAUUAAAACUCAAAUGAAUUGACGGGGGCCCGCACAAGCGGUGGAGCAUGUGGUUUAAUUCGAUGCAACGCGAAGAACCUUACCUACUCUUGACAUCCAGAGAAGCCGGAAGAGAUUCUGGUGUGCCUUCGGGAGCUCUGAGACAGGUGCUGCAUGGCUGUCGUCAGCUCGUGUUGUGAAAUGUUGGGUUAAGUCCCG
This 1037-nucleotide ribosomal RNA is filed under the name Vibrio sp. ECNPI_III. Its description in RNAcentral is "bacterial SSU rRNA". It matches the Rfam family "Bacterial small subunit ribosomal RNA", at positions 63 to 1089 of the family's 1533-position model. The record is from RNAcentral. Lineage: Bacteria; Pseudomonadati; Pseudomonadota; Gammaproteobacteria; Vibrionales; Vibrionaceae.